UACAGAGACUGCAAGCGUUAUUCGGAUUCACUGGGCGUAAAGGGUGCGCAGGUGGCUUUGUGUGUCAGGUGUGAAAUCCCGGAGCUUAACUCCGGAACUGCGCCUGAAACUGCAGAGCUAGAGCAUUGGAGAGGGAAGUGGAAUUCACGGUGUAGCAGUGAAAUGCGUAGAUAUCGUGAGGAACACCAGAGGCGAAGGCGACUUCCUGGACAAUUGCUGACACUCAGGCACGAAAGCAUGGGGAGCAAAAGGG
This 253-nucleotide ribosomal RNA is filed under the name uncultured bacterium. RNAcentral's name for it is "partial 16S ribosomal RNA". It matches the Rfam family "Bacterial small subunit ribosomal RNA", at positions 524 to 776 of the family's 1533-position model. The record is from RNAcentral.